GGGAAUGUAGCUGAGAUGGUUAUAGCGUCAGGUUGUUGGCAAUGCCUGCCGAAGGCAUAGCCCUGAAGACGCGGGUUCGAUUCCUGCCCUUCCCA
Molecule: transfer RNA, 95 nt
Filed under: Leptolyngbya sp. Cla-17
Lineage: Bacteria; Bacillati; Cyanobacteriota; Cyanophyceae; Leptolyngbyales; Leptolyngbyaceae
Rfam family: tRNA
About the family: Transfer RNA (tRNA) molecules are approximately 80 nucleotides in length. Their secondary structure includes four short double-helical elements and three loops (D, anti-codon, and T loops).
Source: Rfam by way of RNAcentral